UAUAACGGCUCUCCCAUGAUUGGACCACGCGUCUCUGCCAUACAGAUAUGGGCGUACGAGGAUAUCGGGCGCCUGCUCCAUGCGUAACGGCCUCUGAUUCUCCCCCGUGCGUACACUCGAGCGGAUCUGUCAGGCUGUACGACGAGUCUCGUUCUGGAUUCUGGGCUGGGCCGAAAGCUGGGCUGGACGCUGAACCCAGGAGGAGAAGGAAUCCGUGGGGAGGUUAUACGGGCUGGGCCGAUCUCGAUGAGGAAGAAUCUGGUGGAGUCCGG
Molecule: long non-coding RNA, 272 nt
Filed under: Manihot esculenta (cassava)
Lineage: Eukaryota; Viridiplantae; Streptophyta; Magnoliopsida; Malpighiales; Euphorbiaceae
Description: long non-coding RNA (MESC_LNC001640)
Source: RNAcentral